GACGAACGCUGGCGGCGUGCUUAACACAUGCAAGUCGAACGGAAAGGCCCUGCUUUUGUGGGGUGCUCGAGUGGCGAACGGGUGAGUAACACGUGAGUAACCUGCCCUUGACUUUGGGAUAACUUCAGGAAACUGGGGCUAAUACCGGAUAGGAGCUCCUGCUGCAUGGUGGGGGUUGGAAAGUUUCGGCGGUGGGGGCUUGACUCGCGGGUUAUCAGCUUGUUUGUGGGGUAGUGGUUUACCAAGGCUUUGACGGGUAGCCGGCCUGAGAGGGGGACCGGCCACAUUGGGCCUGCGAUACGGCCCAGACUCCUACGGGAGGCAGCAGUGGGGAAUAUUGCACAAUGGGCGGAAGCGUGAUGCGGCAACGCCGCGUGCGGGAUGACGGCCUUCGGGUUGAAAACCGCUUUCGCAUGUGACGAAGCGUGAGUGACGGUAAUGGGUAAAGAAGCACCGGCUAACUACGUG
Molecule: ribosomal RNA, 468 nt
Filed under: uncultured bacterium
Lineage: Bacteria
Description: partial 16S ribosomal RNA
Rfam family: Bacterial small subunit ribosomal RNA
Source: RNAcentral